Molecule: ribosomal RNA, 228 nt
Filed under: uncultured bacterium
Lineage: Bacteria
Description: partial 16S ribosomal RNA
Rfam family: Bacterial small subunit ribosomal RNA
Source: RNAcentral
GAUCAUGGCUCAGGAUGAACGCUGGCGGCGUGCUUAACACAUGCAAGUCGAGCGAAGCAAUUUAAGUGAAGUUUUCGGAUGGAUCUUAGAUUGACUGAGCGGCGGACGGGUGAGUAACGCGUGGAUAACCUGCCUCACACAGGGGGGAUAAACAGUUAGAAAUGACUGCUAAUACCGCAUAAGCGCACAGUACCGCNUGGUAUAGUGUGAAAACUACCGUGGUGUGAG